UACGUAGGGGGCAAGCGUUGUCCGGAUUUAUUGGGCGUAAAGAGCGUGUAGGCGGCCUUACAGGUCAGCUGUGAAAACUCGAGGCUCAACCUCGAGACGUCGGUUGAAACCGUAUGGCUAGAGUCCGGAAGAGGAGAGUGGAAUUCCCGGUGUAGCGGUGAAAUGCGCAGAUAUCGGGAAGAACACCCGUGGCGAAGGCGGCUCUCUGGGACGGUACUGACGCUGAGACGCGAAAGCGUGGGGAG
RNAcentral lists this ribosomal RNA (245 nucleotides) under uncultured Rubrobacter sp. Its description in RNAcentral is "partial 16S ribosomal RNA". It matches the Rfam family "Bacterial small subunit ribosomal RNA", at positions 524 to 768 of the family's 1533-position model. Lineage: Bacteria; Bacillati; Actinomycetota; Rubrobacteria; Rubrobacterales; Rubrobacteraceae. The record is from RNAcentral.